GAUGAAGAACGUAGUGAAAUGCGAUAAGUAAUGCGAAUUGCAGAAUUCAGUGAGUCAUCGAAUCUUUGAACGCACAUUGCGCCCUGUGGUAUUCCGCAGGGCAUGCCUGUUCGAGCGUCAUUUCAACCCUCAAGCUCUGCUUGGUGUUGGGCCCUGCCCGCUCGCGGCUGGCCCUAAAGACAGUGGCGGCGCCGUCUGGCUCUGAGCGUAGUACACCUCUCGCUCCAGCGCCUGGCGGUGGCCUGCCAGAACCCCAACUCUGUGGUUGACCUCGGAUCAGGUAGGGAUACCCGCUGAACUUAAGCAUAUCAAUAAGCGGAGGA
This 323-nucleotide unclassified non-coding RNA is filed under the name soil metagenome. RNAcentral describes it as "partial contains 5.8S ribosomal RNA, internal transcribed spacer 2, and large subunit ribosomal RNA". The stretch from base 1 to 120 matches the Rfam family "5.8S ribosomal RNA", at positions 35 to 154 of the family's 154-position model. The record is from RNAcentral.